CCUACGGGAGGCAGCAGUGGGGAAUAUUGGACAAUGGGCGAAAGCCUGAUCCAGCCAUGCCGCGUGUGUGAAGAAGGCCUUCGGGUUGUAAAGCACUUUCAGUGGGGAAGAAAGCCUUGGGGCUAAUACCCUCGAGGAAGGACAUCACCCACAGAAGAAGCACCGGCUAACUCCGUGCCAGCAGCCGCGGUAAUACGGAGGGUGCGAGCGUUAAUCGGAAUUACUGGGCGUAAAGCGCGCGUAGGCGGUCUGAUAAGCCGGUUGUGAAAGCCCCGGGCUCAACCUGGGAACGGCAUCCGGAACUGUCAGGCUAGAGUGCAGGAGAGGAAGGUAGAAUUCCCGGUGUAGCGGUGAAAUGCGUAGAGAUCGGGAGGAAUACCAGUGGCGAAGGCGGCCUUCUGGACUGAAACUGACGCUGAGGUGCGAAAGCGUGGGUAGCAAACAGGAUUAGAUACCCUUGUAGUC
RNAcentral lists this ribosomal RNA (465 nucleotides) under Vreelandella stevensii. Its description in RNAcentral is "partial 16S ribosomal RNA". It matches the Rfam family "Bacterial small subunit ribosomal RNA", at positions 338 to 795 of the family's 1533-position model. Lineage: Bacteria; Pseudomonadati; Pseudomonadota; Gammaproteobacteria; Oceanospirillales; Halomonadaceae. The record is from RNAcentral.